AGGACCUGGAUAUAGAGGAAUAUAACACCAGGAGGUUCCAUUUUGCUGAACACAUACCGCCAUCAAGACAGAGCAAGAGCCUCAAUGAGAGUCAUGAGAAGAUCAGCAAGCUCCAAGCCUGGUGCAAGUUCCAAGACAAGUUCAUUGGUAAGUGCUUCAAGAUGUACAAAUCCAUGCAGAAGAAGUUGAACCGCUCCUCUACUAGCACUACUGCACCA
MicroRNA precursor from Arabidopsis lyrata subsp. lyrata, 218 nucleotides. It matches the Rfam family "MIR854 microRNA precursor family". The record is from Rfam. NCBI's taxonomy places the organism in Eukaryota, Viridiplantae, Streptophyta, Magnoliopsida, Brassicales, Brassicaceae.